RNAcentral lists this unclassified non-coding RNA (170 nucleotides) under uncultured fungus. RNAcentral's name for it is "sequence contains ITS1, 5.8S rRNA gene". Lineage: Eukaryota; Fungi. The record is from RNAcentral.
GUGAUUUAAAUACUUGAACUGUAGUCUCGCAAGAGCUCUCUUCAAGUCCCUUCACAUCCACACACACCCUGUGCUCUUGGCUGUUUGGACUUCGUUGUCUGAACAGUUCAACCCCCCUUUUUAAAUAAACUCAGUAUAAUGAAUGUAAACAAGUUUUUAUAAACAUAAUA